UUAUAUAAAGGAGAAGCGAGGGGCGUGUAGGUGGCGCCUCUCACAUCGCUCCGUUAUAUUUUUCAAAAUUUUUGGAAUUUUUGGAUGAAAAAUAUCAAAAAUUAGAACUACCUUUUUUAGUUCCGGAUAUACUAGAAGUAAGUUCCAGAAUCUGAUUUUGUUUUAGAUUAUUUAUGGAAUAUAGUAGCUUGAAAGUUCUAAUUUGAUUUUGUUUCAGAUUAUUUAAUUAUGGGAAAAAAGAUUUAUGGAAUAUAGUAGUUUGAAAAUUUUAAUAUGAUAUUGUUUCAGAUUAUUUAAUUAUGGGAAANGUCUAAACACAAUCUCCUCUCUCUCAAUACCACAACCAUAUACUUAUAUAAAGGAGAAGCGAGGGGCGUGUAGAUGGCGCCUCUCACAUCGCUCCGUUCUAUUUUUUUAAUUUUCUGAAAUUUUUGGAUGAAAAAUAUCAAAAAUUAGAACUAUCUUUUUUAGUUUCGGAUAUAUUAGAAGCAAGUUUCAGAUUCUGAUUUUGUUUUGGAUUAUUUAUGGAAUAUAGUAGCUUGAAAGUUUUAAUCUGAUUUUGUUUCAGAUUAUUUAAUUAUGGAAAAGAGUAGCAAAGUCUCUGUGCACGUAGAAAUACCCCUAUAGGUUGUAGGGUUUUGGAUCAUCCAAACACAACCUCCGCUCUGUCAAUACCACAACCCUACCUCUUUUUGGUGAUAGUUCUCUUGCUCGAUCUCUAAUUCGGUGGUGCCGUCUUCUACGAUGAUAUAUGUUUGUUGGUUAUUCUUUUAUAAUAUUUGUAUGAAAAUAUUAUUUAUGCAAUACUUCGACAAUAUAUGUUUGCUCGGUUCAAGCACCUUUUAAGUGAAGGCAGUAUUAAAAAAAUAAAGGUUGUUGCAAGCAAAGGUAGUUAUAGACCGCUAUGUGGUAGUCGACAAAUCCAAACACGGGAGAGGAAUAUAGUCUUGACAUGAUAUUGAUGGAUGAUUUCAAUAAAUUAAUUAUUAGUGAUGUAUGUUUGUUGGUUAUUCUUUUAUAAUAUUUGUUUUGUUCAUUAUUCGUGCAUUAUCUGUUUGCUCCGUUUAAGCAAUUUUUAAGUGAAGGCAAAGAUUGUUACAAGUAAAGGUAGUUAUAGACCGUUAUCUCACGGAUUUAAGUUGGAUGUUUUUGUGCACAGUCAAUUCAAAAAAAAAUUGGAGGAAGGUGACAAUGUAUAAACAUGAUUUUUUUUUUUAAAAAUACAAAUAAAAUUAAGAUUCGUCGUGGUUUAAAUUAUUAAUUACAUGUAGAAAUUUAUUUUCAUUUUUUCACCAUGAAUUAUAGUUCAAUUUUGCAAUUUUAUAUAUUAGUCUCGGUAUUACAUCAAGAUUUUUAUAAAAUAAAAUUUAUUUUAUCCUACAAAUAUUAAUUUUGAAUUAAUAAUAUACUGUUUAUAGACAGCCACAAACUUAUUUUAUUCUACAAAUUUUAAUAUUAAAUUAUUAAUAUAAUUUUUAUAGCCCGCCGCAACGCGCGGCUUCUCAACUAGUACUUAUAUAAAGGAGAAGCGAGGGGUGUAGGUGGCGCCUCUCACAUCGCUCCGUUUUAUUUUUCUAAUUUUCUGGAAUUUCUGGAUGAAAAAUAUUAAAAAUUAGAACUACCUUUUUUAGUUUCGGGUAUAUUAGAAGCAAGUUUCAGAAUCUGAUUUUGUUUCAAUUUUGUUUCAGAUUAUUUAUGGAAUAUAGUAUCUUGAAAGUUUUAAUCUGAUUUUGUUUCAGAUUAUUCAAUUAUGGGAAAGACAGAUUAUUUAUGGAAUAUAGUAGCUUGAAAAUUUUAAUCUGAUUUUGUUCAGAUUAUUUAAUUAUGGGAAAGAGUAGCAAACAAGUCUCUCUCCACCUAUAAAUACCCGUAUAGAUCGUAAUAUUUUGGAUCAUCAAAACACAAC
RNAcentral lists this long non-coding RNA (1906 nucleotides) under Daucus carota (carrot). Its description in RNAcentral is "long non-coding RNA (DCAR_LNC006361)". The record is from RNAcentral. Lineage: Eukaryota; Viridiplantae; Streptophyta; Magnoliopsida; Apiales; Apiaceae.